Molecule: ribosomal RNA, 340 nt
Filed under: uncultured Pseudomonadota bacterium
Lineage: Bacteria; Pseudomonadati; Pseudomonadota
Description: bacterial SSU rRNA
Rfam family: Bacterial small subunit ribosomal RNA
Source: RNAcentral
AACGAACGCUGGCGGCGUGCCUAACACAUGCAAGUCGAGCGUGAAAGUUCCUUCGGGAAUGAGUAAAGCGGCAGACGGGUGAGUAAUACAUAGGUAAUCUACCUUCGAGCUUGGGAUAACCCCGCGAAAGUGGGGCUAAUACCGGAUAAGACCACGCGGCAUACGCUACGCGGUAGAAGGUGGCUUUUUCUUCGGAUUGAGCUAUCACUUGAGGAUGAGCCUAUGGCCUAUCAGCUUGUUGGCGGGUAAGAGCCCACCAAGGCUAUGACGGGUAGUUGGUCUGAGAGGACGACCAACCACACUGGGACUGAGACACGGCCCAGACUCCUACGGGAGGCAG